AAGCUGGGAGCGCUGGGGUCUCCUCCCUCGGACACCGACGUUUCGGAGAACUGAGGAGCUGAGUAGCAGCCUGGAAACUGGAACUCCGAGGGUUCCCUGAAGUAGAGAGGCUCCCUUUGCCCAGUGGCCCACUUACUCAUGCAAUCGUUGGUUGCUUCUUGUGUGUGCCCUGACUGGGGAUCAAACCACAACUUUCGUGUAUCAGGAUGACGCUCUAACCAACGGAACUACCCUGCCAGGGCCCAGGUCACCGAAUUCUCCCGCCUCGGUUUGCUCAGCUGUGAAAACAGAGAGAGAGGAAGGGAGAAGGAGAAAGAUGGAAACAUCGAUGAGACAGA
Molecule: long non-coding RNA, 338 nt
Organism: Molossus molossus (Pallas's mastiff bat)
Lineage: Eukaryota; Metazoa; Chordata; Mammalia; Chiroptera; Molossidae
Exons: 3
Source: RefSeq, a predicted model, not a curated record